GAGCCGUUAGCUCAGUCGGUAGAGCAACUGCCUUUUAAGCAGUGGGUCGCUGGUUCGAUUCCAGCACGGCUCA
RNAcentral lists this transfer RNA (73 nucleotides) under Candidatus Coatesiibacteriota bacterium. RNAcentral describes it as "Candidatus Coatesbacteria bacterium tRNA-Lys". It matches the Rfam family "tRNA". Rfam says of the family: Transfer RNA (tRNA) molecules are approximately 80 nucleotides in length. Their secondary structure includes four short double-helical elements and three loops (D, anti-codon, and T loops). The record is from RNAcentral. Lineage: Bacteria; Candidatus Coatesiibacteriota.